Molecule: long non-coding RNA, 854 nt
Organism: Vitis vinifera (wine grape)
Lineage: Eukaryota; Viridiplantae; Streptophyta; Magnoliopsida; Vitales; Vitaceae
Exons: 2
Source: RefSeq, a predicted model, not a curated record
UACUCUGUGCCUGCAAAGGUGAUUUUUAUGUAGGUUUUCCUUUAUAUUGUUACGUCUUGAAUUAGUCGUAUUUUUCAAUCGUAAAGGAAAAUACAGCCGUCUAAAGAUUUGGGCCAGCCCGAGCCCCAGGGAUUAAUGGGCCGGGUUUGGGUCCAUUGUCAUCUGCCUUUCCUGUGCACAUGGCACUUGUUGGCGGUCAUUCCGGAAAAUUCAAACCUCUUGAGUGACUUCCUUUUGCGAGCUUGUAUGUGCGGGGCCAAAAACUAGGGUUCCGUAGAUCGCCUGAAACUUCGCUUCUAUCAUGGCCUCGGAUUCGCAUCGAUCAGUUUUUUUCUUCAAAGAAAAGGAAACUGCUAUCUCCUGGUUUGAAGACUGGAAGAAUCGAAAAAGAUUCAAAAAGAGCAGUCGAUGGUUCUCCCAGUAGCAAGGGCACCUUAGACAACUAUUUGGUAACUUCUCCGGAUGAUAAUUCCACUGCUCGUGGUUCAUCAGCAGGAAAAGGCCCAGUUAAAAGAAAUUUGACAUUGGAGAUUAAUUUGCCUUCUAAAGAUGAAAAUGAAAAUGCCCUUUUAUCAGGCCAAUUUGGAGAAACUCAUACGGAAAAUUCCCGGGGUUUAUCUCAGAUGGGUGGUGUUGGAGUUGGAGAGCAAUUGAAGGAUUGCUCAGUCUCUGCACAUGGUCCCGUGAACUCGGUACUGAAAUAGUGCCACAGAAGCAAAGCUUUUUUGUUUUGUUUUUUAGUCUCUUUUGUUUUCUUGUCACGAGGAAACCCUUGAUAAUGACUCAUCCUACAAACAUGUCACGUUUUUCUAUUUUUGUUGUAAUAAAAGAAGAUGCAAUGGCUUUGAUGGCAA